This 357-nucleotide unclassified non-coding RNA is filed under the name uncultured fungus. RNAcentral describes it as "partial contains small subunit ribosomal RNA, internal transcribed spacer 1, and 5.8S ribosomal RNA". The stretch from base 1 to 73 matches the Rfam family "Eukaryotic small subunit ribosomal RNA", at positions 1759 to 1831 of the family's 1831-position model. The record is from RNAcentral. Lineage: Eukaryota; Fungi.
GCAAACUUGGUCAUUUAGAGGAAGUAAAAGUCGUAACAAGGUUUCCGUAGGUGAACCUGCGGAAGGAUCAUUGCCAAUGUGGCUGUGCGUCCUUGCCCCCCUCAAAAAGGGGUGGUUCGGGCCACAGCUUUCAUUUCAAACAAAGCCCUUUGUGAACCUGGCUGUGAGAGGCUGAAGGCCCCUCUCUGGGCGGAGCCGCACCCCGCAACAGGGGUGGACCCUCUCACAGCCCAAACCAAAACAACCCCUUUUUUCUUAUGCCUUCUUUCAAAGACUGAAGACUAAAAAAAAAACAAAAACAUUCUUACAACUUUUAACAAUGGAUAUCUUGGCUCGCGCAUCGAUGAAGAACGCAGC